UACGGAGGGUGCAAGCGUUGUCCGGAAUUACUGGGCGUAAAGCAGGUGCAGGCGGUUCGUUGUGUCGGGUGUGAAAUCCCGAGGCUCAACCUCGGAACUGCGCCCGAAACUGGCGGACUUGAGUGCGGGAGGGGAUGGUGGAAUUCCGGGUGUAGAGGUGAAAUUCGUAGAUAUCCGGAAGAAUACCGGUGGCGAAGGCGACCAUCUGGCCCGUUACUGACGCUCAGACCUGAAAGCGUGGGGAG
Molecule: ribosomal RNA, 245 nt
Filed under: uncultured bacterium
Lineage: Bacteria
Description: partial 16S ribosomal RNA
Rfam family: Bacterial small subunit ribosomal RNA
Source: RNAcentral